ACCUGUAUCGAAAGUGACUAUGGCGCAACUGUUGCCAUAGUCAUUGAUGUUACGGGAAUUGUGACGGAAAUAUUUUACCGUGUUUGUUGGAAUAUCUUUUCCUGUCAAACCCUGUCUUUCAAACA
This 125-nucleotide small nucleolar RNA is filed under the name Oncorhynchus mykiss (rainbow trout). RNAcentral's name for it is "Small nucleolar RNA SNORA71 (ENSOMYG00000003107.2)". It matches the Rfam family "Small nucleolar RNA SNORA71". Rfam says of the family: The members of this family belong to the H/ACA class of snoRNAs which bind a number of proteins (including dyskerin, Gar1p and Nop10p) to form snoRNP complexes. Lineage: Eukaryota; Metazoa; Chordata; Actinopteri; Salmoniformes; Salmonidae. The record is from Rfam by way of RNAcentral.